ACGGAUCACGAUCGCUUGUCCAAGGAUCCGUCGGAUAAUAGACGUGAUUGUCCGAGUGAUGACACGGGGGAUGAUGCGGUCGGACGUGGGAAAGGGAAACACGGACACGAGCAGUUCUACUACUAGUGGUGCCUCAUUCUCAUUCGCUCGUUGUUUCUCGCAUUUCUUUCCUUAUUUAUCCCCGCUAUUACUACUACUACUACUAUUACUAUUACUACUAUUACUAUUAUUACUACUAGUACUAUUACCACUACUACUAUCGUUUCUUCUCCUGGUUAUCGUGUGUCAUCGUGUCCUUCUCUCGACACACCAGGUUCCGUCGUUCGACCUCCCACCACUGCUCGUCUCGUUAAACGGCCGAGAAACGUUCGUGCGCCUCCUCCGUUGCCCACGCGUGGUCCCCGUGCCCGUUAUCUCUCCCUGCUAUCGUUCCUGCUCUCUCCUCCUGUCUUUUCGUUCGUCUCCACGGAGGGUGUACACCUCCCGUUCAUCGAUCCCCACUGAGCGACGAGGCAAAAAGCCGGCGGUGUUUCUAGUUAGUCCUGUGAUUUUGGUUAGGAUGGUUGGUAAACGCGUGUUCAGAGGGAGGGACACGUUAAAACGAGCUCCCUCGUUUAAUCAGUGCUUUAAGACGAAACGUUUAGCUUAUAUAUACAUAUAUAUAUAUUAUAUAUAUAUCGAUAAAUUAUUAAAGGUAUAUAUAUAUAUAUGUGAGUGAGAGGAAGAGCGAGAGGAAGAAAGUGAGAGAGAAAGAGAGAGAGAGAAAGAGAGAAAGAGAGAGAGAGAGAGGGAGAGAGAGAGAAUUAGAGAGAAAGGGAGAAAGAAGAGAGAGAAAGAGAGAAAGAGAGAACACACACACCUGUUCGAGGUGCAAAACGCAACUUUAUUCCGUAAACAGGAUGUAUUCCGUGCGAUUUCUGUGGAUCGACGUGGUGAAGAAUCCAUCGAGGUAUGAGAAGCAGAAACAUUAAUAAUUACGUAGAUCUUUGAUGUUUUUCUUUUUUUUUUUUUUUUCUCUCUCUCUUCGUUUUUUUUUUUAUUUUUCCUUUUUUCAAUUUACAAUAUGUAAUUAGAAUAUUCUUAUUUUAUACUCUUAGUAGUUAUUAACACUUUUUUUACAGAGAGUGGAUAAUAUUAUGGAGAACGAGGUUUCCAUAAUACAUUCGCGUUGAAUUGCAAAUCUUGAUUCUCAUUUCAAAUUUUAGCGAUGUUUAAAUAAUCGUAAAUCAUUAUGUGUUUUAUUGUUUGAUCGGGCUUGCAUCGAUAUUAUUCGCUUGUUUUUUCACUCGUGCCUAAUUUGAAAAAAAAAAGAAGAGAAAAAGAAAAAAAGGGUGAGACUGAAUUGCAAAUAUUGCACAAUUCUCACGCAGCGAUUGUGCAAUCCGAGAACAGGUUUGCAAACUCGACGAACAAAUUACAAUAUCGCGUCUUUGAAUAUUCAAUGCAACAAAUUACUUAGAAGUUAAAUGAAUUGAUCUUAAAAAAAAA
Long non-coding RNA from Apis dorsata (giant honeybee), 1488 nucleotides. RefSeq lists it as uncharacterized. NCBI's taxonomy places the organism in Eukaryota, Metazoa, Arthropoda, Insecta, Hymenoptera, Apidae. The record is from RefSeq and is a predicted model, not a curated record. The transcript is spliced from 2 exons.